GGUCGUGUGGCCUAAUGGAUAAGGCGUCGGACUUCUGUGAAAGUAGUUAUCCGAAAAUUGCGGGUUAGAGUCCCGCCACGAUUA
RNAcentral lists this transfer RNA (84 nucleotides) under Daphnia pulex (common water flea). It matches the Rfam family "tRNA". Rfam says of the family: Transfer RNA (tRNA) molecules are approximately 80 nucleotides in length. Lineage: Eukaryota; Metazoa; Arthropoda; Branchiopoda; Diplostraca; Daphniidae. The record is from Rfam by way of RNAcentral.